AAAGAAGACCCUGUUGAGCUUGACUCUAGUCUGACUUUGUGAAGAGACAUGAGAGGUGUAGCAUAAGUGGGAGUUUUGGGACUCCUCUUGAUUACAGUUUCGGCUGUAGUUGAGAACCCUUAACGAUCAUGAAAUACCACUACUCUCAUCGUUUCUUUACUUACACGGUGAAAAGGAAAUUGGGAUAGUGUCUCUCUCUUCUGAACUUCGGUUCAGUAGCAGGAGGCCACCUAUCUCUAAAUUCUAGAGCAAAAUGUGGUUCCAUCCAUAUAUGCUCAAGACACCUAAUUGAAUCAUGUUCUCUUUGGGACUUGAUUUGAUUAAAGACUUGGGUUUGGUUGGUAGCCAAUGUAUAUCAGCAAUGACAUACAUAACCGCAUGAUCCUCGCCGUGGACAUUGUCAGGCGGGCAGUUUGACUGGGGCGGUACAUCUGUCAAAAGGUAACGCAGGUGUCCUAAGGCCAGCUCAGUGAGGCCAGAAACCUCACGUAGAGCAAAAGGGCAAAAGCUGGCUUGAUCCAGACUUUCAGUACGAAUACGGACCGCGAAAGCGGGGCCUAUCGAUCCUUUCGAUGAAUGAGAGUUUCAUCCGAGAGGUGUCAGAAAAGUUACCACAGGGAUAACUGGCUUGUGGCAGCCAAGCGUUCAUAGCGACGUUGCUUUUUGAUCCUUCGAUGUCG
RNAcentral lists this ribosomal RNA (680 nucleotides) under Oligonychus ununguis. RNAcentral describes it as "eukaryotic LSU rRNA". It matches the Rfam family "Eukaryotic large subunit ribosomal RNA", at positions 2403 to 2886 of the family's 3401-position model. The record is from RNAcentral. Lineage: Eukaryota; Metazoa; Arthropoda; Arachnida; Trombidiformes; Tetranychidae.